This is a non-coding RNA of Chinchilla lanigera (long-tailed chinchilla), 698 nucleotides long. The record is from the annotation of a RefSeq genome assembly. Lineage: Eukaryota; Metazoa; Chordata; Mammalia; Rodentia; Chinchillidae.
CCCAGUCAGGACACAGCAUGGACAUGCGGGUCCCCGCUCAGCUCCUGGGGCUCCUGCUGCUCUGCCUCCCAGGUGUGCGAUGUGACAUCCAGGUGACCCAGCCUCCACCCUCCCUGGCUGCCUCUGUAGGAGACACAGUCACCAUCACUUGCCGGGCCAGUCAGGGUGUUAGCAGUUACGUAAACUGGUACCAGCAGAAACCAGGGAAAGCUCCUACUCUCCUGAUCUAUAAUGCUAAUAAUUUGCACUCCGGAGUCCUGUCGAGGUUCAGCGGCAGUGGGUCUGGGACAGAUUUCACUCUCACCAUCAGGAACCUGCAGCCUGAAGACAUUGCAACUUAUUACUGUAUGCAGCAUAAUAGUUCCCCUCCCACAGUGAUUCAAGCCAUAACAAAAACCUCCCGAAGAAGCAGAAGUCAGACUCCCUGGCAGAAACAGUCUCCAGCACUCCUGUCAGUGGCUGUAGGAGUCAAGGCCACCAUCACCUGCAACGCCAGCACAGACACUGAUUAUGAUAUGCAGUGGUAUCAACAGAAACCAGGAGAAGCUCCUAAGCUCCUUAUUAGAGGAGCUACAACUCUCAUCUCUGGGAUCCCUUCCUGGUUCAGUGGCAGUGACUAUGGACCAGAUUUUACCCUGGAAUGUGAGGAUUCUGCACACUACUUGUGUCAGCAGGAUGCUAAUUGGCCCUCCCCGUGA